GAUAAACGCUGACAGAAUGCUUAACACAUGCAAGUCGAUGAGGAAGUUUUAGCUUGCUAAAAUGAAAUCAUGGCGGACGGGUGAGUAACGCGUAAAGAACUUACCCUUUAGACUGGGAUAACACAAGGAAACUUGUGAUAAUACUAGAUAAGUUAGAUUUAGGCAUCUAAAUCAAAUGAAAUACUAUAUGUGCUAGAGGAGAGCUUUGCGUCCUAUUAACUAGUUGGUAAGGUAAAGGCUUACCAAGGCGAUGAUAGGUAGCCGGCCUGAGAGGGUGAACGGCCACAAGGGGACUGAGAUACGGCCCUUACUCCUACGGGAGGCAGCAGUGGGGAAUAUUGGACAAUGGAGGAAACUCUGAUCCAGCAAUUCUGUGUGCACGAAGACGGUUUUCGGAUUGUAAAGUGCUUUUAGUUGGGAAGAAAAAAAUGACGGUACCAACAGAAGAAGCGACGGCUAAAUACGUGCCAGCAGCCGCGGUAAUACGUAUGUCGCGAGCGUUAUCCGGAAUUAUUGGGCUUAAAGGGCAUCUAGGCGGCAAAGCAAGUUGAAGGUGAAAAGCUGUGGCUCAACCAUAGUCUUGCCUACAAAACUGCUUAGCUAGAGUACUGGAAAGGUGGGUGGAACUACACGAGUAGAGGUGAAAUUCGUAGAUAUGUGUAGGAAUGCCGAUGAUGAAGAUAACUCACUGGACAGCAACUGACGCUGAAGUGCGAAAGCUAGGGGAGCAAACAGG
Molecule: ribosomal RNA, 736 nt
Filed under: uncultured bacterium
Lineage: Bacteria
Description: bacterial SSU rRNA
Rfam family: Bacterial small subunit ribosomal RNA
Source: RNAcentral